This 396-nucleotide ribosomal RNA is filed under the name uncultured bacterium. RNAcentral's name for it is "bacterial SSU rRNA". It matches the Rfam family "Bacterial small subunit ribosomal RNA", at positions 357 to 770 of the family's 1533-position model. The record is from RNAcentral.
GGGAAUCUUCCACAAUGGGCGAAAGCCUGAUGGAGCAACGCCGCGUGGGUGAAGAAGGUCUUCGGAUCGUAAAGCUCUGUCCUCAAGGAAGAUAAUGACGGUACUUGAGGAGGAAGCCACGGCUAACUACGUGCCAGCAGCCGCGGUAAUACGUAGGUGGCAAGCGUUAUCCGGAUUUAUUGGGCGUAAAGGGAACGCAGGCGGUUUCUUAAGUCUGAUGUGAAAGCCUUCGGCUUAACCGGAGUAGUGCAUUGGAAACUGGGAGACUUGAGUGCAGAAGAGGAGAGUGGAACUCCAUGUGUAGCGGUGAAAUGCGUAGAUAUAUGGAAGAACACCAGUGGCGAAAGCGGCUCUCUGGUCUGUAACUGACGCUGAGGUUCGAAAGCGUGGGUAGCA